RNAcentral lists this ribosomal RNA (381 nucleotides) under Triticum aestivum (bread wheat). RNAcentral describes it as "partial small subunit ribosomal RNA". Lineage: Eukaryota; Viridiplantae; Streptophyta; Magnoliopsida; Poales; Poaceae. The record is from RNAcentral.
AUGGGGCGCUGGAGAGAGGAGCAGCAGCAAAGGAGGCAAGGAAGUAGAGCAGCAGUAAGUGGAGAAGAUCAGCAGCAAGGGGGCGCAAGGAGAGAGGAAGAGGAACAGCAGGGGAAGAAGAAAUUGGGAAAGCAGCAGGGAGAGGCGCGCCGGCUGGAGGGAGAGGUCGCGCGAGGUGUGGUGGUGAAUGGAUGGCGCAGGUGGUGGAUGGAGGCGUUAGUGGCGCGCUGGGGUGCGGUGGUGCUGGUGAUGGAUGGCUGGAUGGGUGGCGGAGGCGCACCACCACGCCGGCCUGGCCAUGGCGGCGGCCGGAGGUGGAGAAGGAGGGGUGAGGGAGAGAGAUGGAGAUGCCAGGCCCGGUUUGGGAAUGGAGGCUGCUAG